Long non-coding RNA from Homo sapiens (human), 3062 nucleotides. RefSeq lists it as uncharacterized. Lineage: Eukaryota; Metazoa; Chordata; Mammalia; Primates; Hominidae. The record is from RefSeq and is a predicted model, not a curated record. The transcript is spliced from 2 exons.
CAGAGUUUUACUCUGUUGCCCAGGCAGGAGUGCAAUGGCGUGAUCUUGGGUCACUGGAACCUCCACUUUCUGGAUUCAAGCGAUUCUUUUGCCUCAGCUUCCUGGGUAUCUGGAACUACAGGUGCCCACCACCAUGCCUGGCUAAUUUUUGUAUUUUUAGUAGAAAUGGGGUUUCACCAUAUUGGCCAGGCUGGUCUCAAACUCCUGACCUCCAGUGAUCCACCUGCCUUGGCCUCCUAAAGUGCUAGGAUUACAGGCGUGAGCCACCGUGCCCGGCCUGUAUUUUUAUAGGUUGUGAAUAUCCUUUUAUUCUCACCUUUCCCUCACCUAGCAGUAACUGGAAGGUGCUAAUUGGCCCAUCUAUGAGCACCUAAAACGCUCCAUCUGAAAAUGCCCACCUCCUGCCCAUGCACCUGUAAGUUGUCCAUCCCUGCACUCUCUGGCCUCCCACCCUCUAGGGGAGGUCUGCUUCCUUCACUUUGGAGAGGGCUGCUGCGCAAGCCAUUGUAGCCCCAUUUUAUAUACAAGGAAACUGAGGCAAGCAUACAGUGAAACAACUUGGCUGAGCUAGAACAGAGUCUCAGGACUACCUGUCAAAGAAGAUAAAUGGACUAGUCAAGGAAAGUUGGGGAGGAAUUCAAACCACAUGCCUGGCCUAGGCUGACAGUGAGGCUUAAUGCAGGUAACCACACUUCACAUCCUGUGCCGGGUUUGAAGUGCUCUGGUGAUCUGCAAAGAGAGCCUCAACACAGCCAACUCACUGCCAAAAAAGAAAUUCUCACUCAGAAUAUUGGCCAAACAACAUUUUUAUUUGAAAGAAACCAAGCCAAAUAAAAACACAUAGUAUUUUCUUCUCAUGCCUUUCCUUGCCUGGGAUAUUUAUUUAUUUACUUUUCUUUCAUUCUCCUGACCACCUCUGACAUUGUUUUUAUUUUGAGGAGAUUUAAAAAUAACUUCCCUGUACUCAUUCAUCUUGCUCUCCUGAGAUAGAGGGAAUUUUCACAUUUUCCAGCCAGUUUUAAUGUAGCAGAAACAAUCAGAGGUGCUGCUGUGACUUUUGGUGUAUUAGAAAAGGGGAGGGCUGGGGCAGGUGGGCUUGGCCAAUAAAAUACAGCUGGGGAACAGGAAACUGCAGAGAGAUUUCCCAGACUUGGCCUGCGCUGCAGCCCCGCUGUGCUCUCCUGUGAAGCUGCACCAGGCCUCUGGGCUGAAUUCCCACCUGGGCUUGAGAGGGCCCUCCCAUGUUGGUCCUUCUUGCUCCCUAGUGCAAGACUUCCUUUGCCCACAACGACACUGCCUCCCAUGUACAGAACAGUGCUAUCGCUAUGACUCAUUUCUGCAUCUUGAUUGCUGAGAUCACUGAUCAGGUUUGUGACAAAACAGCAUCAAAUCUGAAGAGUUGUGUCCUCCCCGCACCACCCCCCUCGCCCCCACCAUUAUUUGCUCACCUUGAAGGUAAUCCAGGAUAGGAGUCCCUCUGAAGCAAACAGAACAUCCAUCAAAGACCCGAAAGAACAUAAGGUAAUUGGCCGGGUGCGGUGGGUCAUGCCUGUAAUCCCAGCACUUUGGGAGGCCGAGGCGGGUGGAUCACAAGGUCAGGAGUUCGAGACCAGCUUGGCUAACAUGGUGAAACCCCGUCUCUACUAAAAAUACAAAAAUUAACUGGGCAUGGAGGCGUGCGCCUGUGAUCCCAGCUACUCAGGAGGCUGAGGCAGGAGAGUCGCUGGAACCCAGGAGGUGGAGGUUGCAGUGAGCCGAGAUUGCGCCAUUGCACUCCAGCCUGGGUGACAGGGCAAGACUCCAUCUCAAAAAAAAAAGGAAAGAAGAAAAGGAAUAUAAAGUAAUUUAUUCCAGCUUGUUUUCUGUUUAUUUCAUUGUUCCAAGCAUGAUUCCCUCCAUUCCAUCUGCAAGUUGAAUUCCAGAUCAUCUUCCCAAUCAUCCUCCCUGAAGGGCAUUUCUGAGAAUGUCAUUCAAACUACUUCCAUGGUUUUUCUGUGGGCCUUUGCUUAUUGCUGUUUCCUUGCCCUUGAAUGGCCUUCCCCGGGGUUUUUGUGUUACUACCCAUUCCUCUAGGCUCAGUUCUAAUUCCACCUCCUCCACCAUAAAGCCUUCUUGGAGGAAAUUAAGUGUAAAAGCCCAUGCUCUAGAACUGGGAUUACCUGGAGAUUGUCAUUAUUAUUAUAAUUAUUAUAUACAUGUUCAUGGUGAUGAUGGUGGUGGAGGUGAAUUCCAAGUUAUUCACUUGCUAGCUAUACAACUUAGAGGUAUUUGCUUAAUCAUUGUCUCAGUUGCCAUAUCUGUAAAGUGGGAAUAAUAUUUAUGUCUAUUUCAUAGAACUUUUGAGAAUACUUACUGAGUUAAAAGAUGUGAAGUAGUUAGAUUAGUUAAGUGUUCAAUAUCAUCUUCUCUAUAAAAUCAAGUUGAUUUGGACUUCUAUAAUAAUUCUUACAGCCUUCAUGCAUUUCUUAAAUAAAUACUUGUCAAGGUUAUAUGUGCUAGGCACUCUGUGAGGAAGAUAAUCACAGUGUAGGAUGCCGUGUUUAUAGUAUUGUAUGUUUGACUCCUGUCCUUGUUCUCAGGCCGCAAAUCCUAUCUAUGAAGAUAGGCACUUCCAUUCAUUCUGAAGUCCUCACAUAGUAGUUAUUCAGUGAAUGUACCCUGGGAUCCACUUUUCACCUUUCCCCUUACCUGCUUUGUGCUUCAAGAAACUGACUUCAACAGACAGCAUCAUCUGGGCUUCUUUACCCUGUAGUGUUCAGCUGAGUUCAGCCAAUGGAAGACACUAGUAGAAGACUGGAAGGAUAGAGGAGAGAAAGAUUGGAAUAUUUAUUCCCAUCUCAUACUACAGUUUUUGUAGUGAUGGUUCUUCCUAUUGGACAGCUUCCACCUAUAACUACAGUUCUCUCCUGGUUCCAGAAACUGCUUUCUCCACUUCUGACCUAGGAGUAGCCACAGCUCCCAGCUGUUGUUAGACCCCAGGUGUAUUUUGUCAUCUCUUGUUACUUCCCUUAACCCUGCCACAGCUCUGAAAAUAGUCCAGUAAUUAAAUACUUUUUGAGCUA